Molecule: long non-coding RNA, 110 nt
Organism: Dendronephthya gigantea
Lineage: Eukaryota; Metazoa; Cnidaria; Anthozoa; Malacalcyonacea; Nephtheidae
Exons: 3
Source: RefSeq, a predicted model, not a curated record
UGGUGUCAGGUUUUUAUGCGAUUUCAUACCUCUGAUCCAAGUUUUCUUUGAAUAAUAACAGAUGUAGCCUUCAAAGAUGGAUUAUCCUUAUUGUAGAAGAAAUUUAAACA